This 492-nucleotide ribosomal RNA is filed under the name uncultured bacterium. Its description in RNAcentral is "partial 16S ribosomal RNA". It matches the Rfam family "Bacterial small subunit ribosomal RNA", at positions 29 to 507 of the family's 1533-position model. The record is from RNAcentral.
AGUGAACGCUGGCGGUAGGCCUAACACAUGCAAGUCGAACGGCAGCACAGUAAGAGCUUGCUCUUACGGGUGGCGAGUGGCGGACGGGUGAGGAAUACAUCGGAAUCUACUUUUUCGUGGGGGAUAACGUAGGGAAACUUACGCUAAUACCGCAUACGACCUACGGGUGAAAGCAGGGGAUCUUCGGACCUUGCGCGAUUGAAUGAGCCGAUGUCGGAUUAGCUAGUUGGCGGGGUAAAGGCCCACCAAGGCGACGAUCCGUAGCUGGUCUGAGAGGAUGAUCCGCCACCCUGGAACUGGGACACCGUCCCGGCUCCUACGGGAGGCAGCAGUGGGGAAUAUUGGACAAUGGGCGCAAGCCUGAUCCAGCCAUACCGCGUGGGUGAAGAAGGCCUUCGGGUUGUAAAGCCCUUUUGUUGGGAAAGAAAAGCAGCAGGUUAAUACCCCGCUGUUCUGACGGUACCCAAAGAAUAAGCACCGGCUAACUUCGUG